Long non-coding RNA from Ahaetulla prasina, 2087 nucleotides. RefSeq lists it as uncharacterized. The record is from RefSeq and is a predicted model, not a curated record. NCBI's taxonomy places the organism in Eukaryota, Metazoa, Chordata, Lepidosauria, Squamata, Colubridae. The transcript has 3 exons.
GAAACAAUAAUAGAAUGCAUGUGACGCUGCUCUAGCAACGUCCUCAACUUUGUCCCUAUUUUUAGGCUUUAUACUUUAGCGAUGAAACACCAACCCUACUUUUUAGGGGGUUUGAAACAUGCUCUUUCUAAUGAGAAUGAUUUAACAGAGUUUCCAGAAGUUCUUUUUUUGUAAAGGUGGGCUGAAAAUACUCUAUUUUUGGCAUUUUUAAAAAACCCAUCAACUUUACGCUCAAUUUGUGAACUAUUGGAAAACAGUAGGAGAAUGACAUUUUAUAUUCGGAAACCUUGUGUUGCUAGGUUAUUAUGCACAAAGUUUCACGUUUCUCAUACCUUUCCUUCCAGAGAUAUAAAAAACCAAACAUUACCUUUUUUCAAGCCACAAUAAUUUUCAGCCAAUUUUGCUCCAAAUUAUCUAGAUGGAGAUUGCUCAUGAGAAUAUUUUUAUUAUUUUGUUUAAUAGAGCACAAAAAGUUGUACAAGAUGGCCAAAUUUUGUUUCUCUCAACAAAAUCUUGCCUGAGAUAUGUUUUCAAAGUUGCUGAAACCUCAGAGUCAUACUGUAGAAGACUGCGGUAUAGGGUGACACAAAUGACUAUAUCUCCGCAAGUAUUGCAUCAGCAUACAUAACACUAUCAAUGUUGAUUGGGGACGUUUGUGGAACACAGGUUCACACCAAAUUUCAUUGAAAUCCAUGAUGGUUGAGCAGGGUACUUUUCUGAAAUCAGAUCACUUGACAUGGAAUGACCCUGAGUAGUAAGGAGUACAUACCAAAUUUUGCAUAAGGCUUUAGCCCCGCCCCUUUUGUGACAUCACCACACCACGCCCCUUGGAGGACUGUUGUUUUGAGGGGGUGGUAGCCCUGGCCAUUUUUGUGAUGUCACUUCUGGUCCCGCCGUUGGAGGUCUUGUUUUGCCCCAUCCUAACCCCUCCCAGUUUUAUGACAUCAUUUCUGGGGGGCCCCACCCUUGGAGGACUUGUUUUUAGGGCUCACUAGAACUGCCCAUUUUGUUACAUCAUUUCUGUUCCCCCUUGGAGGACUGUGACAUCAUAAUCCCUUGCUCUCCUGUCUGGGUCUCAACCCCCUUUUACAGGAAGUAGCACAACAUCACUUCCGGGGGUCUUCCCUCCCUCCCUUGGAGGACUGUGAUGUCAUAAAAAUCAGACCCUUUUAUAGGAAGUAGUGAGGGAUUGCAGAUGUUAGAACUGCAGGGGGCGCAAAAUUAAUUUAAAAAGUCUGUUUUCACACACUGCAUGGUGGAAUGAUUGUAUCAGCCUAUAUAUAAACAUAUAGGAUGUAACAAUUCCUAUGAUUGUAUCAGUGUUAUAUGUAAACAUACAGGAAUGGAUUUAGAGGUAAACAAAGGCUGGAUCAAUUCCUGAGCCGGGACCCUAUUGUUAAUGCAAGGAGUUUGAGCAAUAUCCUGUAUUUGGUUUAGGAGUUUUGCGUUGCAGGUUGGUAAAAAUAAAAUACUAUUUUGCAAAAAACAUUUUUGUACCUUGAGUGGGAUACAAGGUAUAUAUGUAAAAAUAAAAAUAAAAUGGGCUAUUUAUGCACAUGCUUGUUUACGGCAAUAGAGCAUAGGACUUGUUGUGGCAUGUCCCAAGCUUAUGAGUGUGAGAGGUGUACACACGUGAUGAUACGUGUGGCCAAAGGGUCUAGAACAUGCUCAGGCCUGUCCCAUGUUUGACCUUCUUUUCAAAAGGCUGAUAAAAAGGAGUUCUCUGCAGGCAGCUGCCAACUCAUCUGUUUAAAAUGUAGACAGCCUUCGCCUAAAAUGGACCCUAGCGACAUAAAUAAUAAAAAAUUUGUAGACCCUUCUAAAUCGUGGUCUGUGUCAAGGCCUAUUUUGAAUGACUGUCAUAAAAUAUGCUGUACAAUGCAUUACUUCAGGCCUAUUUUGUUUGGCUGUCAUCUAUCCUGUUGUGAUGUAAGGGGUGCUUACCCAGGACUGGGUUCUGUUCCGGGUUAUAGCCAAAAUCACAAUGUCUCGUUAAUAACAAACGUCUCAACUGAUGAAGAGGCUGCAGAGGAUUUCUUAGAAGCGGAUUUUGGAUAUAAACAUGAUAAGAGAUUGGCUCUUUCAAG